Glycine soja is the source of this 90-nucleotide non-coding RNA. NCBI's taxonomy places the organism in Eukaryota, Viridiplantae, Streptophyta, Magnoliopsida, Fabales, Fabaceae. The record is from Rfam.
AAUGGGCAUGUGAUGAGUCUCAUUAUCAAAUGGGUAAUUUGCGUCUGAAUUUCAUUGAUGCUAUAUCACCUUGGAGAACUGAUGCCCACA